GACGGGGGGGGCAAGUGUUCUUCGGAAUGACUGGGCGUAAAGGGCACGUAGGCGGUGAAUCGGGUUGAAAGUGAAAGUCGCCAAAAAGUGGCGGAAUGCUCUCGAAACCAAUUCACUUGGGUGAGACAGAGGAGAGUGGAAUUUCGUGUGUAGGGGUGAAAUUCGUAGAUAUCGAGAGGAACAUCGGUGGCGAAGGCGGCCUUCUGGACAGCAACUGACGCUGAGACGCGAAAGCGUGGGGAGCAAACAGG
This 251-nucleotide ribosomal RNA is filed under the name uncultured bacterium. RNAcentral describes it as "partial 16S ribosomal RNA". It matches the Rfam family "Bacterial small subunit ribosomal RNA", at positions 524 to 776 of the family's 1533-position model. The record is from RNAcentral.